AGACGGAGGGGGCUAGCGUUGUUCGGAAUGACUGGGCGUAAAGGGCGCGUAGGCGGUUUUUUAAGUGAGGCGUGAAAGCCCUGGGCUUAACCCAGGAGGUGCGUUUCAUACUGAAAGACUUGAGUGCGAGAGAGGAAAGUGGAAUUCCUAGUGUAGAGGUGAAAUUCGUAGAUAUUAGGAAGAACACCCGUGGCGAAGGCGGCUUUCUGGCUCGCAACUGACGCUGAGGCGCGAAAGCGUGGGGAGC
This 247-nucleotide ribosomal RNA is filed under the name uncultured bacterium. RNAcentral's name for it is "partial 16S ribosomal RNA". It matches the Rfam family "Bacterial small subunit ribosomal RNA", at positions 523 to 769 of the family's 1533-position model. The record is from RNAcentral.